This 1278-nucleotide ribosomal RNA is filed under the name Triticum aestivum (bread wheat). RNAcentral's name for it is "partial small subunit ribosomal RNA". The record is from RNAcentral. Lineage: Eukaryota; Viridiplantae; Streptophyta; Magnoliopsida; Poales; Poaceae.
UUCGUUUCUCCUCUUAUGCAUUUUCUCCUUCUUAUCUCUCAGCUAAACUAUCCCGUGAGCUGUUCCGGCCACCGCCGCCGAUUCAUGGCCACGCGCGCACCUUCCUCCCUCUGGCUCAGAUGCCAUGGCGUAGUUCAUCCCAAGGCGCGUACCGCCUGGCAUCAGACUGCCCAAAGACCAAGCACUGUUUCCAGGCGCCCCUGGUGAGUGGAGUUGAUGUGAGUGGCUCGCCGGCGUCGCGGGCGAGUGGAGUUGAUGUGAGGGGCUCGCCGGCGUCGUGGGCGAGGGCUACCAGCAGCCACCGUGUACGCCGUGUCUCAGACGACCCCAGCCACUGCAGCGCGUGCUGGAACCACGCAUCAUUUUUGCUGGAACCAGCACCGCAGGGAGCUGCAACCGACCGCACCGCAGCUCCGGCGCUCGCGGGUUCCAGCUUAGCCCUUGCCGGAUGCAGCUUGGCCCCCUGCCGGUUGCAGCUCCUCCACAAGCCGGUUCUAACUCUGGAUCGAGCGCUGCUAUGUGCUAGAGAGUUGUGAUGUGAUGGGCAGCUAGCGGUGCUGGAACCGGUGUCUAUCGGUGCUGGAAACGGUGCAUAUGAAAGCUGGAACUAGCAUCUUUUUUUGCUACUACUAUCUUGGUUUUGCUGACCAACUGAAUUUUGCUACCACCUCCUUCAUUGUUUGCUGGAACCAACAAUCUUUUUGUUACCACUAUCUUUUGUUUUUGUUGGAACCAGACCUAAUUUUGCUUCCACCGCCAUCGACUUUUGCUGGAACCUGUUCCAGCAAUCCGUUCUUUGCUACCAUCAGCUUUGUCUGAAAGCGACACCACCAUCGCCAUUGAUGCUGCGAUGGCAGUGGGCAGCAUCAGCGAGGGACGAUGUUGCGGUCAGCGCCGCAGAGCUACCAUGGAUGCAACAUAGAGGCAAGAGAAAAAACGGCUACGGUCAACGGCCUUUUUAUUGCGAGCGACGACAGCGAGCAUCGGCGGUGAGCGUCUGCGGCGAGGCAAAUGGGCAAGGUUCGGCGAGCACGGGUCGCCGGCGGUCCAGGAUGAGCGGGGCGCCAGUCUUUUUCCCCUUUCUUUUUUCUCCUCUGCUUUCUUUGCUGCAUCGUUUCUUGGAAGCUUGACAAAGGAAUCGAACGGUUUUAAAAAGCUAGAUCGUGCGGCCCACGUGGGACCGGCCGAAAAUUUUGACCGGCGCGGGCGCCUAUUAGUGGCCUAUUUUUUUGAGGUAUUUAGUGUCCUAAUUAGUACUACAUAUUUUAUGAUUUUUUG